Molecule: ribosomal RNA, 385 nt
Filed under: uncultured bacterium
Lineage: Bacteria
Description: bacterial SSU rRNA
Rfam family: Bacterial small subunit ribosomal RNA
Source: RNAcentral
AAUGGAGGAAACUCUGAUGCAGCAACGCCGCGUGGAGGAUGACGCAUUUCGGUGUGUAAACUCCUUUUAAGAGGGAAGAUUAUGACGGUACCUCUUGAAUAAGCACCGGCUAACUCCGUGCCAGCAGCCGCGGUAAUACGGAGGGUGCAAGCGUUACUCGGAAUCACUGGGCGUAAAGGGCGCGUAGGCUGGCUUUUAAGUCAGAUGUGAAAUCCAAUGGCUUAACCAUUGAACUGCAUUUGAAACUGAAAGCCUAGAGUUCGGAAGGGGCAGAUGGAAUUAGUGGUGUAGGGGUAAAAUCCGUAGAUAUCACUAGGAAUAUCAAAAGCGAAGGCGAUCUGCUGGGACGAUACUGACGCUGAGGCGCGAAAGCGUGGGGAGCAAA